CUGUGCUUUACCACUAUUUUUGUAGCUGGAUCCUUUUACUCAGUUUUGCAGUUUUAUGGUUGUAUAGCAGAUGAGUUGAGCUAGAGCAUUUAAAGAGGAGGAUUCCGUUGUCAUGUAUAAAGUUGGUGAGCUUAACAUGCCUGUUGGGUUUCUAUUCUUUCACAAAGCUUUCAUAUUGAGCCGCAGGAGGCAAGCAGGAAGAAAUCAAACGCCCUGUUGAUGGACCAGCCGCAGGAGGCAAGCUUCCAGAUGACAUUGUGAUUGGGUUUCUAGUUACAUUCAUUAACUGUUUGUUCUAUUAACAAGGAAUAGAGGUUAGGGUGCUUUGCGAAAAAGCUAAGGAGGUUUUAAUGGAAGAAAGCAAUGUUCAGGCCAACUGUUCAAUCUGUUCAAAGCUCACAAAGAUCCUAGACAAAAUCCAAUUGCUUAUUCCUGUAAUAGAUUGAGAAAGACAAGCUACUUCUUCAGUAUUGUGGUAGUAAUUACUGUAGUGUUUUGUUCCGUUCUCA
This is a long non-coding RNA of Zingiber officinale, 509 nucleotides long. RefSeq lists it as uncharacterized. The transcript has 3 exons. Lineage: Eukaryota; Viridiplantae; Streptophyta; Magnoliopsida; Zingiberales; Zingiberaceae. The record is from RefSeq and is a predicted model, not a curated record.